GACGAACGCUGGCGGCGUGCUUAACACAUGCAAGUCGAACGGAAAGGCCUCUUUCGGGGGGUACUCGAGUGGCGAACGGGUGAGUAACACGUGAGUAACCUGCCCUUGUCUUUGGGAUAACUUCCGGAAACUGGGGCUAAUACCGGAUAGGAGCUCCUGCUGCAUGGUGGGGGUUGGAGAGUUUCGGCGGUUGGGGAUGGACUCGCGGCUUAUCAGCUUGUUGGUGGGGUAGUGGCUUACCAAGGCUUUGACGGGUAGCCGGCCUGAGAGGGUGACCGGCCACAUUGGGACUGAGAUACGGCCCAGACUCCUACGGGAGGCAGCAGUGGGGAAUAUUGCACAAUGGGUGGAAGCCUGAUGCAGCAACGCCGUGUGCGGGAUGACGGCCUUCGGGUUGUAAACCGCUUUCGCUCAUGACGAAGCUUUGUGUGACGGUAGUGGGUAAAGAAGCACCGGCUAACUACGUG
RNAcentral lists this ribosomal RNA (467 nucleotides) under uncultured bacterium. Its description in RNAcentral is "partial 16S ribosomal RNA". It matches the Rfam family "Bacterial small subunit ribosomal RNA", at positions 28 to 507 of the family's 1533-position model. The record is from RNAcentral.